GGUUUGACGGUACCUUUAAAGGAAGCACCGGCUAACUCUGUGCCAGCAGCCGCGGUAAUACGGAGGGUGCAAGCGUUGUUCGGAAUUAUUGGGCGUAAAGCGCGUGUAGGCGGUUUGUUAAGUCUGGUGUGAAAGCCCUGGGCUCAACCUGGGAAGUGCAUUGGAUACUGGCAAACUUGAGUACGGGAGAGGAUAGUGGAAUUUCGAGUGUAGGGGUGAAAUCCGUAGAUAUUCGAAGGAACACCGGUGGCGAAGGCGGCUAUCUGGACCGAUACUGACGCUGAGACGCGAAAGCGUGGGGAGUAAACAGGAUUAGAUAUCCUGGUAGUCCACGCCGUAAACGAUGGGUACUAGGUGUUGCGGGUA
Molecule: ribosomal RNA, 366 nt
Filed under: uncultured Geobacteraceae bacterium
Lineage: Bacteria; Pseudomonadati; Thermodesulfobacteriota; Desulfuromonadia; Geobacterales; Geobacteraceae
Description: bacterial SSU rRNA
Rfam family: Bacterial small subunit ribosomal RNA
Source: RNAcentral